Molecule: ribosomal RNA, 540 nt
Filed under: uncultured bacterium
Lineage: Bacteria
Description: bacterial SSU rRNA
Rfam family: Bacterial small subunit ribosomal RNA
Source: RNAcentral
UUGAGCCGGCGGCGGCCUAACACUAGCCAGUUCGUAACACGGGUAACCCGCACAGCUUGCUUCUUUGCUGACGAGUGGCGGACGGGUGAGUAAUGUCUGGGAAACUGCCUGAUGGAGGGGGAUAACUACUGGAAACGGUAGCUAAUACCGCAUAACGUCGCAAGACCAAAGAGGGGGACCUUCGGGCCUCUUGCCAUCGGAUGUGCCCAGAUGGGAUUAGCUAGUAGGUGGGGUAACGGCUCACCUAGGCGACGAUCCCUAGCUGGUCUGAGAGGAUGACCAGCCACACUGGAACUGAGACACGGUCCAGACUCCUACGGGAGGCAGCAGUGGGGAAUAUUGCACAAUGGGCGCAAGCCUGAUGCAGCCAUGCCGCGUGUAUGAAGAAGGCCUUCGGGUUGUAAAGUACUUUCAGCGGGGAGGAAGGGAGUAAAGUUAAUACCUUUGCUCAUUGACGUUACCCGCAUAAGAAGCACCGGCUAACUCCGUGCCAGCAGCUCCCGGUAAUACGGAGGGUGCAUGCAUUAAUCGGAAUUACUG